This 416-nucleotide ribosomal RNA is filed under the name uncultured bacterium. Its description in RNAcentral is "bacterial SSU rRNA". It matches the Rfam family "Bacterial small subunit ribosomal RNA", at positions 334 to 742 of the family's 1533-position model. The record is from RNAcentral.
UACUCCUACGGGAGGCAGCAGUGGGGAAUUUUGGACAAUGGGGGCAACCCUGAUCCAGCCAUUCCGCGUGAGUGAAGAAGGCCUUCGGGUUGUAAAGCUCUUUCAGCAGGAGCGAAACGGUCGUUUUUAAUACAGACGGCUAAUGACGGUACCUGCAGAAGAAGCACCGGCUAACUACGUGCCAGCAGCCGCGGUAAUACGUAGGGUGCGAGCGUUAAUCGGAAUUACUGGGCGUAAAGCGUGCGCAGGCGGCGACAUAAGACAGAUGUGAAAUCCCCGGGCUCAACCUGGGAACUGCGUUUGCGACUGUGUUGCUAGAGUGUAGCAGAGGGGGGUGGAAUUCCACGUGUAGCAGUGAAAUGCGUAGAUAUGUGGAGGAACACCGAUGGCGAAGGCAGCCCCCUGGGUUAACACUG